This 626-nucleotide ribosomal RNA is filed under the name Scopulariopsis gossypii. Its description in RNAcentral is "eukaryotic LSU rRNA". It matches the Rfam family "Eukaryotic large subunit ribosomal RNA", at positions 34 to 664 of the family's 3401-position model. The record is from RNAcentral. Lineage: Eukaryota; Fungi; Ascomycota; Sordariomycetes; Microascales; Microascaceae.
UGUUGCAUAUCCAAAUAGCGGAGGAAAAGAAACCAACAGGGAUUGCCCCAGUAACGGCGAGUGAAGCGGCAACAGCUCAAAUUUGAAAUCUGGUCCCCUCUGGGGGCCCGAGUUGUAAUUUGAAGAGGAUGCUUUUGGCGAGGCGCCGUCCGAGUUCCCUGGAACGGGACGCCGCAGAGGGUGAGAGCCCCGUACGGUCGGACGCCGAGCCUCUGUAAAGCUCCUUCGACGAGUCGAGUAGUUUGGGAAUGCUGCUCAAAAUGGGAGGUAAACCCCUUCUAAAGCUAAAUACUGGCCAGAGACCGAUAGCGCACAAGUAGAGUGAUCGAAAGAUGAAAAGCACUUUGAAAAGAGAGUUAAAAAGCACGUGAAAUUGUUAAAAGGGAAGCGCUUGCGACCAGACUUGCGCCCGUCGGAUCAACCGUCGCUUGCGGCGGCGCACUCCGGCGGGCUCAGGCCAGCAUCAGUUCGCUCGGGGGGAGAAAGGCGGCGGGAAUGUGGCUCUUCGGAGUGUUAUAGCCCGCCGUGUAAUACCCUCGGGCGGACUGAGGACCGCGCGUAUGCAAGGAUGCUGCUAUACGUGGCGUAAUGGUCGUCAGCGACCCGUCUUGAAAAAAAGAACCACA